Molecule: ribosomal RNA, 253 nt
Filed under: uncultured bacterium
Lineage: Bacteria
Description: partial 16S ribosomal RNA
Rfam family: Bacterial small subunit ribosomal RNA
Source: RNAcentral
UACGAAGGGGGCUAGCGUUGUUCGGAAUUACUGGGCGUAAAGCGUGCGCAGGCGGCUUCUCAAGUCAGGGGUGAAAGCCCAGAGCUCAACUCUGGAAUUGCCUUUGAGACUGAGUGGCUUGAGUACGAGAGAGGUGAGUGGAAUUCCCAGUGUAGAGGUGAAAUUCGUAGAUAUUGGGAAGAACACCGGUGGCGAAGGCGGCUCACUGGCUCGUAACUGACGCUCAUGCACGAAAGCGUGGGGAGCAAACAGG